Non-coding RNA from Triticum aestivum (bread wheat), 135 nucleotides. Lineage: Eukaryota; Viridiplantae; Streptophyta; Magnoliopsida; Poales; Poaceae. The record is from Rfam.
UAUGUAUGACCCUCCGUCCGAAAAUACUUGUCAUCAAAAUAGAUAAAGAUGGAUGUUCUAAAACUAAAAUACGUCUAGAUAAAUCUCUUUUUAUCCAUUUUGAUAACAAAUAUUUCCGGACUGAGGGAGUACGUA